Molecule: long non-coding RNA, 485 nt
Organism: Xenia sp. Carnegie-2017
Lineage: Eukaryota; Metazoa; Cnidaria; Anthozoa; Malacalcyonacea; Xeniidae
Exons: 3
Source: RefSeq, a predicted model, not a curated record
AAACGUGUGGUUUUAGUUAUAUAAAACAAACAAAGGCCGUUUUGGUUGAAUAAAAUCACCAAAAAAGACAGGAAGAAUUUAAUAUAAAUACAGUAAAUACUUUUAUUCGUGUACCAUAUUGUGGAUUGUAAACAUUGAGUACAGUCACACACGCGAAACCGUUAGUUGGCCGUUACCAAUUGACAGUUUUUGUUUUUGAAAAGCAAGUUUACAAUGAAACGACAAACAGUAUUUGUCUGUUUGUUAUGCUGUGUUUUUCUUCAUAUAUCACUUGGCAUGAAAAGCAGUAAUGAAAAACCUCAGUUCGACAAAGCCAAACUUUUGAGAAAGUUUAAGAGGUAUAACAACAAGCUUUUACUUCAUGUUGGCAACAAUUAAAUUGGAUUUUUUUAGUUUGCCUUUUUGUUUACAAAUCUCUGAACGUUUGUGUAUUAAUAAACAAAUCAGUUGCACUGUGAUUUUAACUCUGAUUGUUGACAAUAGAC